GAUGAACGCUGGCGGCGUGCCUAAUACAUGCAAGUCGAGCGAACGGACGAGAAGCUUGCUUCUCUGAUGUUAGCGGCGGACGGGUGAGUAACACGUGGAUAACCUACCUAUAAGACUGGGAUAACUUCGGGAAACCGUAGCUAAUACCGGAUAAUAUUUUGAACCGCAUGGUUCAAAAGUGAAAGACGGUCUUGCUGUCACUUAUAGAUGGAUCCGCGCUGCAUUAGCUAGUUGGUAAGGUAACGGCUUACCAAGGCCACGAUGCAUAGCCGACCUGAGAGGGGGGUCGGCCACACGGGAACUGAGACGCGGUCCAGACUCCUACGGGAGGCAGCAGUAGGGAAUCUUCCGCAAUGGGCGAAAGCCUGACGGAGCAACGCCGCGUGAGUUAUGAAGGUCUUCGGAUCGUAAAACUCUGUUAUUAGGGAAGAACAUAUGUGUAAGUAACUGUGCACAUCUUGACGGUACCUAAUCAGAAAGCCACGGCUAACUACGUG
Molecule: ribosomal RNA, 497 nt
Filed under: uncultured bacterium
Lineage: Bacteria
Description: partial 16S ribosomal RNA
Rfam family: Bacterial small subunit ribosomal RNA
Source: RNAcentral